RNAcentral lists this ribosomal RNA (458 nucleotides) under uncultured bacterium. RNAcentral's name for it is "bacterial SSU rRNA". It matches the Rfam family "Bacterial small subunit ribosomal RNA", at positions 346 to 796 of the family's 1533-position model. The record is from RNAcentral.
AGGCAGCAGUUAGGAAUAUUGGACAAUGGGCGAAAGCCUGAUCCAGCCAUGCCGCGUGUGUGAAGAAGGUCUUCGGAUUGUAAAGCACUUUAAGUUGGGAGGAAGGGCAGUAAGUUAAUACCUUGCUGUUUUGACGUUACCGACAGAAUAAGCACCGGCUAACUCUGUGCCAGCAGCCGCGGUAAUACAGAGGGUGCAAGCGUUAAUCGGAAUUACUGGGCGUAAAGCGCGCGUAGGUGGUUUGUUAAGUUGGAUGUGAAAUCCCCGGGCUCAACCUGGGAACUGCAUUCAAAACUGACAAGCUAGAGUAUGGUAGAGGGUGGUGGAAUUUCCUGUGUAGCGGUGAAAUGCGUAGAUACCGGAAGGAACGCCAAUAGCGAAAGCAGCUACCUGGACGAUUUGUGACGCUGAGGCGCGAAAGCGUGGGGAGCAAACCGGAUUAGAUACCCUAGUAGUCC